GUCAAGCUAAAUAAAGCCGCAGCUUCAAGUUCGACUGCACUGCUCAACAGGGAAGAGAAACCAACUCCUCCAGCAGUAGCAUACUCAAAUCUAAGCCUUGAAAACCAUAACAUCUACCAUAGUACUCCGCACAUACUCUAAAGGAAGCGUGCAAAAACUUCUGAUCUACUGUGUCUUUGGUAAAGGUUUGGGGAUAGCACUCGUCCCUGUAGACCUUACCUCAUAUUAUGAUCAUCUACUUUAUUGUGUAACGGAUCUUUUAGUUACCUCCCCGCCCAUCCAUGUACACAGAAGGGCCAUGUACAUGGCGAAGCUAGAGACUGUAACCUUCGGACGACCACUGUUCUUUCGGCACCUCCGCAACGAGACAGUGGUAGAACGGGUGCUCGCCAAAGCCGUCCUCAAGCAGCUCUUUCUCGGUUAGCACCACUUGAUCCUCCAUGUCCUCGUACUUGGCUAGUUCCUUGAUCAGUCGCAGCAGGUCGGAGCAGUCCUCGGGACGCGCGGCGCGGAUACUGAACGAAGCCAUUUUCGACGGCGUUUCCCCCUGCGGCCCCCUCGGCUGACGAGUCCCCGGUGUGUGAACAGGAGGAGCAGCUGUUUCUUCAUUCGUGUCCCGGGCGCGGCGGCCACCUGCGGUCAGUCAGGCUGCGAGCAUGUCCCGGCGGCGUUCAGCAGGCAGACGACUCACCCACCGACUUCGGCGACGGCUGGAACUCAACUGUGCCUCCGCCGGCGUCUCCGCCUCCAUUUAUAGACGACGGCGCUCCGCCUCCCCCGCACGAGAGCCAAUGGGAGCGCCCGCAGCUCUCGCCCCCAGCCAAUGGCAGCGCCCCUCCCCGGAAUCUUGCCUCGCCCUGCCAGCAACAGCUGCUGCGGAUGUCUCGUG
RNAcentral lists this long non-coding RNA (889 nucleotides) under Gallus gallus (chicken). The record is from RNAcentral. Lineage: Eukaryota; Metazoa; Chordata; Aves; Galliformes; Phasianidae.